RNAcentral lists this ribosomal RNA (382 nucleotides) under uncultured eukaryote. RNAcentral's name for it is "partial 18S ribosomal RNA". It matches the Rfam family "Eukaryotic small subunit ribosomal RNA", at positions 592 to 976 of the family's 1831-position model. The record is from RNAcentral.
UGUAAGCGUAUACCAAAGUUGUUGCAGUUAAAACGCUCGUAGUCGGAAUUUGGCAGUUCCGGAAGUGUGCACGUCGUGUGCGCACUUUGCGGGGACUGCUUUUGUGGUCUUGCGUAGGAUGAGGCACUUUCAUUAGUGAACGUCCUCACGCAACCACUCUUUACUGUGAGAAAAUCAGAGUGCUCAAAGCAGGCAUUUGCCGUGAAUGUAUUAGCAUGGAAUAAUAGAAUAGGACUCGGUUCUAUUUUGUUGGUUUGUUGGGACUGAGUAAUGAUUAAGAGGGACAGUUGGGGGCAUUUGUAUUCCGGCGCUAGAGGUGAAAUUCUUAGAUUGCCGGAAGACACACUGCUGCGAAAGCGUCUGCCAAGGAUGUUUUCAUUGA